GCUAAUGUGGCAUAGUGGUUUCAGAGCUCAGCUACAACUCUGGAGACCAGGGUUCAAUUCCCAGCUUGGCCA
Molecule: non-coding RNA, 72 nt
Organism: Phrynosoma platyrhinos (Desert horned lizard)
Lineage: Eukaryota; Metazoa; Chordata; Lepidosauria; Squamata; Phrynosomatidae
Source: the annotation of a GenBank genome assembly